This 62-nucleotide small RNA is filed under the name Clostridium argentinense CDC 2741. Its description in RNAcentral is "RAGATH-18 RNA". It matches the Rfam family "RAGATH-18 RNA". From Rfam's summary of the family: Actinobacteria, Firmicutes, Fusobacteria, Thermotogae (1 example). Nearby to self-cleaving ribozyme genes The record is from Rfam by way of RNAcentral. Lineage: Bacteria; Bacillati; Bacillota; Clostridia; Eubacteriales; Clostridiaceae.
UCUAUGGAGUGUUAUAUCAAACGAAAGUAGCUUAGGCGAAAUCGGACAUUAUGAAGUAGGAA